AAACUUUUUUUUUUUCGUGCACGUCCCUAGUAUAAAUCUUUUGCUUUUUACUAAAGAUUUCCAUGGAGAGGAACAUUUAUGAGUUUGUAACUUAUUUCUUGAGGCCCUGCUUUAGCAAUCUUUAAAAAAGGAAAAAAAAUCUGGGCU
Molecule: small nuclear RNA, 147 nt
Filed under: Salvator merianae (Argentine black and white tegu)
Lineage: Eukaryota; Metazoa; Chordata; Lepidosauria; Squamata; Teiidae
Description: U5 spliceosomal RNA (ENSSMRG00000004271.1)
Rfam family: U5 spliceosomal RNA (bases 2-122)
About the family: U5 RNA is a component of both types of known spliceosome. The precise function of this molecule is unknown, though it is known that the 5' loop is required for splice site selection and p220 binding, and that both the 3' stem-loop and the Sm site are important for Sm protein binding and cap methylation.
Source: RNAcentral